This 459-nucleotide ribosomal RNA is filed under the name uncultured bacterium. Its description in RNAcentral is "partial 16S ribosomal RNA". It matches the Rfam family "Bacterial small subunit ribosomal RNA", at positions 338 to 795 of the family's 1533-position model. The record is from RNAcentral.
CCUACGGGUGGCAGCAGUGAGGAAUAUUGGUCAAUGGCCGGAAGGCUGAACCAGCCAAGUCGCGUGAGGGACGACUGCCCUAUGGGUUGUAAACCUCUUUUAUAAGGGAGGAAUAAAUGCUACGUGUAGCAUGCUGCCUGUACCUUAUGAAUAAGCAUCGGCUAACUCCGUGCCCGCAGCCGCGGUAAUACGGAGGAUGCGAGCGUUAUCCGGAUUUAUUGGGUUUAAAGGGUGCGUAGGCGGUUUUUUCAGUUAGUGUUUAAACGUCGGGGCUUCACCUUGAUUUGCCAUUAAUACUGUAAGACUCGAGUUCAGACGAGGUAGGCGGAAUAAGUUAAGUAGCGGUGAAAUGCUUAGAUAUAACUUAGAACUCCGAUAGCGAAGGCAGCUUACCAGACUGCGACUGACGCUGAAGCACGAGAGCGUGGGUAGCGAACAGGAUUAGAUACCCCUGUAGUC